RNA transcript from Rhopalosiphum maidis (corn leaf aphid), 4413 nucleotides. It is a transcript of the gene named cyclin-dependent kinase 12-like, with no coding region annotated. NCBI's taxonomy places the organism in Eukaryota, Metazoa, Arthropoda, Insecta, Hemiptera, Aphididae. The transcript is spliced from 14 exons. The record is from RefSeq and is a predicted model, not a curated record.
AACUGAUUUUCCGUCGUGUACGUCGCCUCAUUGCCGCAAUAGCACAGAAAAUCAUUGAUAUACGAAACGCACGAUUAUGCGAAUACACUCGUUUAAUCGUCAAAAUACGACCGAACGCCCGUAACCAAAAACCAAAUGUUGGUGGUUAUCAUCCGGAAUUAUUAUUCUCGUAAUACCGGAAUCACAACGUUAACUCACCAAUAGGCGAAAUCGCAAUAAAACAAUAUCAACACGCGCAAAUCGCGAUCAUAACGUUUUAUAAUACAUUUUUCUGACAUCAGUCAUGUGCUAGUCAAGGCACCUAUACGCUUUAAAUUACGAGAAAUAUAUGAUCCUAAAUACGAUAAUACGCUCGUAUUUGGAUUUUUGUUUUCUAUAAACCGUGAACCCUGCAAUUUGAAAUUGCAAUUAUUAUAAUUUUAUUUUUAUUUUAUACGAUUUUCAUUUAAGCAGCCAGAGCAAACCGGGUUUUUCGACUACAAUUUAAUGUCAGCUGGAAUACUGAGAUCCCAACAAUCUUAAUGUAAAGAAAACGUAACAAGAAAUGGUUUACAGUAGUUAUAUGCUCCCAGCACUGGUUAGAAAAUGCAGCACAGCAAGCAGAGAAAAAUCUUACCGAAGGACAAAAGAAAAAAAGAACAAGCACAAAUUGAAAUCUAAAUCACACAAAAAGUCUGCUUUAGUUACUUCAAGUAAACAUUUAGUUCAAUAUUCAGAUGUUAGUUCUGAAGAACUUAGUAGUCCAGAGGCAGGUGAAAUACAUAGUGAUUUUGAUGAGAAACAUGGGGUCAUACGUUUAAAACCUCCUCCUCCUCCUCCUCCUACCAGAAUAAUAACUAAUAAUUUUCGAAUUACUACAGUCACCUCACCUAGAAAUCUAUUAGCAGCCUGUUCCCCUAUAAGUAAUCAUUGGGAACUAGAUCCGGUAUUAGAAAAAUCUUCAAUGUCUACUACUUUCAAUUUAAAUAAUUGUGUAGAUAUGACAUCAGAAGUCUCACGUUUAAAGUACAAAAAAGCUAAAAAAACCAACAAAAAACCUAAAAGCCCUAGCUCAAAAAAGAAAAAAAAGAAGAAGGAUUUAAAACAUAAAUCUGAUGUAUUACCAGACUGUGAUAAUAGUUUUGUGAAGUUUUCCAAAUGUUCUAAUUCGGAAUCUUCCAAACGAAAUGGUGAUUUUAAUGAACCUGUUAAGAAGCAUAAACCUAUCGAGGUUUCACACACUCCACCAUUAACAAAAUCAGCUCAUAUCAAAAUUUCCAAAGUUGAGGUGACGCAUAAAGAAGAAGAAAAACACAUCAAACAUCAUAGAAAAGAAAAUAAAAGUUGGAUGAAGAGCCCACCAUUAUUAAAUAUAGCAAUAAGGAAAGAAUACAGUCGUACUCCUGAACCUGCAGAUGGUAGAUAUAAUUAUCGAUCUCGAAGUAUUUCAAAACAAAAUAACCGGGACCAUAAAAGACGUAUGGAUGAGUUUGAAAGAUAUGAAACUAAUGAAUUCAAAUCUAGUAGGACUCGCGACAAACACGAAAGUAAACAUGAGAGCAAACAUGAAAAUAAACAUGAGAGUAAACACGAAAGGAGUAGAAUACGAAAAACUAAAUCUGAUAAAGAUAGAUCACCAGUACAUAGUCACAGAUUAUCCCGAAGUCCGAUUCGAGAUCGUCGACACCAUGAACACACGAGAAGUUCUAAAGCGAGGUAUUCACGAUCACGUACCCAUUCCCGUUCCUAUUCUCGUUCCCGUUCACCACAUUCCCCUCAUCAACAGAGACAUGAUCAUCAUCAUGCACACCACUCACCAAAACAUAGUCAAAAAUCUCCUCAGCGUACAACUUCAAAAUCAUCAAAGCACAUAUCUCACGUUUCCAGAGCAGUUUCACCUCACAAUUCUCGAUCUUCAAAAAAAUCAAGUCAUGUUCGACCAAUAUAUUCACGUUCUCCAUCUAAAAAUAUUCGUACUCAAAGCAAAUCGCCUUCUCCAGUAAAGGAUUUAAAAACUACUAAAAAGCAUUCUGAUAGUGAUUCACCUGGAUGUUAUUCUUCAGUCUCCAAGAAAAAAAAAUCUACUAAAAGUCCAGCUAAACAAUAUAAUUCCAAAGUAAAACUUAGUGAAACAAGUCUCUUUGCUGAGUUGGUAAAAGAUCGGCAGAUGCGUGAAUUAGCCAUGAAGUGUUUGACGCAAAUUAGUACUAAGACUUUAGAUGAAAAUGAAGUAGUUGAAAUACAUGAUGAUUCAGAUAAUGAACAAAAUAGUUCUAAAGCUGUUGAUUUAAAUACAAAAUUACACAAAAUUAAUGUAAACGAUGACGUUGAUUCUUGUGUAAUAGUAGAAAUGUCAGAAAACAGUCAAAUCUCUAAACCUAAAGUUGAAAUGUCUAAUACACAAUUAGUUAAUUCACCAGCUAUAGAAAUACCUCCAAAAAUUCAAGCAGUUCCUUUAAAAAAUCAAAGUCCAUCUCUAAUAAAAUUAGAGAUCAUAGAAAAUGGAAUUGAACAUCCUUUAGAACCUAAAGUAUCAUUAACUCCAAAAAUAACACCACCUGAGAAAAAAUUAGAAGUAAUAGAAAAUAAAGAUUUAUCAAAAAUGCCAUUGCCACCGGUUUUUCCAAUACUUGACGAAACAUCUCCAGAUUCAGAAUUUAAGAGUUCAAAAAAAAGCAUUAAAGAUUUACCUUUACCACCAGGACUUAUUCAAAAUGCCGAUAAGAUAGAUGAUGAUAAAAAUCUUUCUUUGUCAGAAAUCGUAUCAAAUCCUUUACCUGAUUGUCAACAAAACGCAAUUAAAAGAUCAAUUAUGUUGGGCUUAGGAUCAGGGUUUCCACAAAGUUUUUCAUUCACUUCAAAUAUGGAAAGGCCCUCUCGUCCAUUAGAUCCAAAUAUUAAGAUUAAACGACCCAAAGUACUAUAUCGAAGACGGAGCACAAAAUCUGCUGCAGCUAAUAACCCUAUUGAUUGGGGAGAGCAGUGUGUUGAUAUGUUUGAAGUGAUAAAUCAAAUAGGUGAAGGAACGUAUGGUCAAGUUUACAAAGCAAAAGAUAAAACUUCAGGUACAUUUGUAGCAUUAAAAAAAGUUCGACUUGAAAAUGAAAAAGAAGGAUUUCCCAUAACUGCUGUUCGAGAAAUAAAAAUUUUACGGCAAUUAAACCAUAAAAAUAUUGUAAAUUUAAGAGAAAUUGUAACUGAUAAACAAGAUGCCCUUGAUUUUAAAAAAGAUAGAGGAUCAUUUUAUUUAGUAUUUGAAUACAUGGACCAUGAUCUUAUGGGUUUAUUAGAAUCUGGAAUGGUUGACUUUAAUGAAACACAUAAUGCAAGUAUUAUGCGACAAUUGUUGGAAGGUUUAAAUUAUUGUCAUCGUCGAAAUUUUCUUCAUAGAGAUAUCAAAUGCAGCAACAUCUUAAUGAAUAACAAAGGUGAAGUAAAGUUAGCUGAUUUUGGUCUAGCUAGGUUAUAUAAUGCUCAAGAUAGACAACGACCAUACACUAAUAAAGUAAUAACACUCUGGUAUAGACCUCCUGAACUAUUACUUGGCGAAGAGAGGUACGGAACUUCAAUAGAUGUUUGGUCAUGUGGAUGUAUUUUGGGAGAAUUAUUUUUAAAAAAGCCUUUAUUUCAGGCCAAUGAAGAAAUGAUGCAAUUAGAAACUAUAUCUCGUUUAUGUGGUAGUCCAACACCUGCUGUAUGGCCUACUGUGAUUAACUUGCCUUUCUGGCAUUCAUUAAAAGCUAAAAAAGUACAUCGACGUCGUUUACGUGAAGAAUUUACUUUUAUGAAUGAUAGUGCCUUGGAUCUUUUAGAUCAUAUGUUAGAACUAGAUCCCAGCAAACGAAUUACUGCUGAUAGAGCUCUAAAAUGCAAUUGGUUAAAAAAUGUCCAACCUGAUAAAAUGGACGUGACAGCACUACCAACAUGGCAAGAUUGUCACGAGUUAUGGAGCAAAAAAAGAAAAAGAGAUCAAAGAGUACGAGAAAACCAGUCCAAAACUAACGAAUCUAGUGAACCAGCUGGAGGAAUUCCUGCUGAUCUACCGAAUAAUAAUAAUGAAAAUAAUUUAGCUGAUAGUUUUAAAUCGACCAUUGAAAAUAAUACUAAUGAAGCAGAAAGUGAUAUAAUAGCAGCACUUGCCAAUAACAAUUCAAUAAAAUCUGAUAUUGACUCUGAAAAUCCUAAUAACAAUGUGGAAAUAGAUGAGGUACAUACACAUUGAUACAGUAUUCAGAUAAUGUUUUAUAGUUGAUUAGAUAAAAUAAUUAGCUUAAUGAUGUUAUCUAUAGCAAUUGGUGACUAGUACAACUGUUGACGUAAUUGAUGAUGUAAAUCUAACUCCACCUAUCAACGAUUUUAAUCCAUGCUUAAACACUUUCCUUCCAAAAACUGGCGGAUUCUAGGUCUAUAUAUUUUUUUUAUUUUAUUAAUUGU